GCAGAUGGCCGGAUGACCGCCGCCGCGCAAGCGGGGGAGGAAAGUCCGGGCUCCACGGAAACACGGUGCCGGCUAACGGCCGGCGAGGGCGACCUCAGGGAAAGUGCCACAGAGAGCAGACCGCCCGGCGGCGGGGCUUCGGCUCCAGCAGGGCAAGGGUGAAAGGGUGCGGUAAGAGCGCACCGCGCCCCUGGUGACAGGGGCGGCAUGGUAAACCCCACCGGGAGCAAGACCAAUAGGGAUGGUUGUCCCCUCGAGGGACAGGCGGGUUUCUGCGCCACCGUCCGGGUCGGUUGCUUGAGCGUGUCGGCAACGGCGCGCCUAGAGGAAUGGUCAUCGAAGCGCGCAAGCGCGGAACAGAACCCGGCUUACAGGCCAUCUGCCACU
RNAcentral lists this RNase P RNA (387 nucleotides) under Gimibacter soli. Its description in RNAcentral is "Kordiimonadaceae bacterium 6D33 RNase P RNA component class A". It matches the Rfam family "Bacterial RNase P class A". Rfam says of the family: Ribonuclease P (RNase P) is a ubiquitous endoribonuclease, found in archaea, bacteria and eukarya as well as chloroplasts and mitochondria. Its best characterised activity is the generation of mature 5'-ends of tRNAs by cleaving the 5'-leader elements of precursor-tRNAs. The record is from RNAcentral. Lineage: Bacteria; Pseudomonadati; Pseudomonadota; Alphaproteobacteria; Kordiimonadales; Temperatibacteraceae.